Molecule: small nucleolar RNA, 131 nt
Filed under: Microcebus murinus (gray mouse lemur)
Lineage: Eukaryota; Metazoa; Chordata; Mammalia; Primates; Cheirogaleidae
Description: Small nucleolar RNA SNORA70 (ENSMICG00000024797.3)
Rfam family: Small nucleolar RNA SNORA70
About the family: snoRNA U70 seems to be exclusive to mammals and is a member of the H/ACA class of snoRNA which contain H (ANANNA) and ACA box motifs. H/ACA box snoRNAs are involved in the conversion of uridines to pseudouridines (5-ribosyluracil) a constituent of structural RNAs (transfer, ribosomal, small nuclear, and small nucleolar).
Source: Rfam by way of RNAcentral
CUGCUAAUGAAGCUGGCUGUUCUCCCUUCUCCCUGGGGGCCGGUGUGCAGUGGCUGCAAACAGCAGCCUCCUCAGAGGUGUACCGAGCCCGUUGCCGGCGUAGGUUACCCCACAGGACCUUGGAGACAGAU